Molecule: ribosomal RNA, 489 nt
Filed under: uncultured phototrophic eukaryote
Lineage: Eukaryota
Description: bacterial SSU rRNA
Rfam family: Bacterial small subunit ribosomal RNA
Source: RNAcentral
GGCAGCAGUGGGGAAUUUUCCGCAAUGGGCGAAAGCCUGACGGAGCAAUACCGCGUGAGGGAUGACGGCCUAUGGGUUGUAAACCUCUUUUUUCAGGGAGGAACAAAAUGACGUGUACCUGAAGAAUAAGCAUCGGCUAACUCCGUGCCAGCAGCCGCGGUAAGACGGAGGAUGCAAGUGUUAUCCGGAAUCACUGGGCGUAAAGCGUCUGUAGGUGGUCAAAUAAGUCAACUGUUAAAUCUUGAGGCCCAACCUCAAAAUCGCAGUCGAAACUAUUAGACUAGAGUAUAGUAGGGGUAAAGGGAAUUUCCAGUGGAGCGGUGAAAUGCGUAGAGAUUGGAAAGAACACCGAUGGCGAAGGCACUUUACUGGGCUAUUACUAACACUCAGAGACGAAAGCUAGGGUAGCAAAUGGGAUUAGAUACCCCAGUAGUCCUAGCUGUAAACAAUGGAUACUAGAUGUUGGACAGAUCGACCUGUGCAGUAUCA